AUACGUAGGGUGCAAGCGUUAAUCGGAAUUACUGGGCGUAAAGCGUGCGCAGGCGGUUUUGUAAGACAGAGGUGAAAUCCCCGGGCUCAACCUGGGAACUGCCUUUGUGACUGCAAGGCUAGAGUACGGCAGAGGGGGAUGGAAUUCCGCGUGUAGCAGUGAAAUGCGUAGAUAUGCGGAGGAACACCGAUGGCGAAGGCAAAUCCCCGGGGCUGGACCUGCGCUCAAGGACGAAAGCGGGGGGAGCAAACAGGAUUAGAUACCCUGGUAGUCCACGCCCUAAACGAUGUCAACUGGUUGUUGGGUCUUCAUUGACUCAGUAACGAAGCUAACGCGUGAAGUUGACCGCCUGGGGAGUACGGCCGCAAGGUUGAAACUCAAAUAAAUUGACGGGG
Molecule: ribosomal RNA, 395 nt
Filed under: uncultured bacterium
Lineage: Bacteria
Description: partial 16S ribosomal RNA
Rfam family: Bacterial small subunit ribosomal RNA
Source: RNAcentral